UGAGGAACAUGACUUUCGGUGGGGGAUAGCCGGCCCAACGGCCCCGGGUAAUACCGCGUACGACCAUUUGGGGACAUCCCCGAGUGGUGAAAGCCGCAAGGCGCCGAUGGAGAACUUCGCGGCCUAUCAGCUAGUAGGUGAGGUAACGGCUCACCAAGGCGACGACGGGUAGCUGGUCUGAGAGGAUGGCCAGCCACAUUGGGACUGAGACACGGCCCAGACUCCUACGGGGAGCAG
RNAcentral lists this ribosomal RNA (237 nucleotides) under uncultured bacterium. RNAcentral's name for it is "partial 16S ribosomal RNA". It matches the Rfam family "Bacterial small subunit ribosomal RNA", at positions 118 to 351 of the family's 1533-position model. The record is from RNAcentral.